AUUGAACGCUGGCGGCAUGCCUUACACAUGCAAGUCGAACGGCAGCACGGGAGCAAUCCUGGUGGCGAGUGGCGAACGGGUGAGUAAAGUAUCGGAACGUGCCCAGUCGUGGGGGAUAACGUAGCGAAAGUUACGCUACUACCGCAUAAGAGCUAGGGAUGAAAGGGGGGGAUCGGAAGACAUCGCUCGAGUGGACGGGCCGAUAUCAGAUUAGGUACUUGGUGGGGUAGAGGCUCACCAAGCAGACGAUGUGUAGCUGGUCUGAGAGGACGACCAGCCACACUGGGACUGAGACACGGCCCAGACUCCUACGGGAGGCAGCAGUGGGGAAUUUUGGACAAUGGGCGCAAGCCUGAUCCGGCCAUGCCGCGUGCAGGAUGAAGGCCUUCGGGUUGUAAACUGCUUUUGUACGGAACGAAAAGGUUUGACUUAAUACGUUGGACUCAUGACGGUACCGUAAGAAUAAGCACCGGCUAACUACGUGCCAGCCGCCGCAGUAA
This 500-nucleotide ribosomal RNA is filed under the name uncultured bacterium. RNAcentral describes it as "partial 16S ribosomal RNA". It matches the Rfam family "Bacterial small subunit ribosomal RNA", at positions 29 to 523 of the family's 1533-position model. The record is from RNAcentral.